Molecule: long non-coding RNA, 2085 nt
Organism: Castor canadensis (American beaver)
Lineage: Eukaryota; Metazoa; Chordata; Mammalia; Rodentia; Castoridae
Source: Ensembl
UGCUGUGUGAUUACAUGGUGGGGCAGGUGCAGAUCUGUGAUUGGGGCGCUUGGGAGUUUGCUUUCUGCCAGUUCACAAAAUCCUCCUGGCUGAAACCUUAUCCCUGAGCUUCAGCAGUCUGUGCCAAGCAUGGUUUUCCUCCUGGUGGUGAGUGCGCCUGAACCAAUGCAUGUAUCACAGGCUGUGUCUUCCUUCUAGCUGGUCAGCAUUGGCUCUUCUUACAACUAUGGAAAUGAAGACCAGGCUGAGUUCCUCUGUGUGGUUUCCAAGGAGCUGCACAACACCCCUUAUGGCACAACCAGUGAGCCUAGCGAGAAAGCCAAGAUUUUGCAAGAACGAGGUUCAAGAAUGUGAGACAGUACUGACAGCUGAAGAAAUGAUUUACUUUUUCCCAAGAUACAUUGAACCGCCAUAUUCAGGAAGCUUGGCUGUGAGAAGAAACCUGCUUUUGAUCAUUUCUCUAGAGAUCUGGGUGUGGAUCCUUUUUUGCCUCGUAAGUGGGUGGUGAGAGACGGCCCAGCUGUCUGAGGCCCAGUGUCCCCGCGGGGAGGAGGCCAGGGCCAGGUGGGCUGUCUCUGGGGGCCUCACUCUGUUCUUUCUGAGUGCCACGUGGGACUGAGGCGGGAUGCUCCUGACCAGCCGGUGCAAUCCUGAAGAACAUUUGAAGGACAGGGUUCUUGGUGCUACAUACAUAGUCUGCGAUACACAGUCUGGGCCUCGGCAAGAGGAAGGGGCAGCAGCUGUGCCUACUAUCAGUGCACCGUGGCUCGGGGCUGAAUGCUGCUGGCCACCUUUGAGCACCAGGCCCUGGUCCUUGGAUCAGGGGCUCUUUGGCUCCAGGUGUGAUUGGCUUGUGGUCUCUCUCGCCCUCAACAGAGGCUUCUGAGAAAAGAGCCCUCUGCAUCAUCACUACUUUCCUAGGGCCUGACCCACGGCCUGGCCUCCUUCAGAGCCAGGCUUUCAUUCUGCCCUCGUAGGCCAGGACAGUCAAGGCUUCUCUAUUUGUAUUUUCCAGGCGAGAGAACUUUGUAUCCCUUUUUUUUUUUUUAAGUGUGGAUAGACCACCCAAUGUUUAUACUCUUUAGAAAUGCCUAAAAGUGUUGCUGCGUUUUGGAUUGAUCUGUUCAAUCAUUUAAUGGGAGAUAGAGGUUUUGCCUCACUCGUCCUACCCGAGGGCUCAUGGGGGAGCUGGCGCCCACCAGUGCCUUUGUCGCGCCUGGGUUGGAGGCUGGAAUGGGAAGCCUGUCCACCUGGCUUCUGGAGCUGACACUCUGGGUCAUGUUGAAAAUUCAGGAUGUUUACAGCGCAUCACGUCUCUUUCUCGCCGGCUCUCAUUUCCUUGUAUAACUAUGCAGUUCUUCUCUAAUAUUUCUGGGGCGUUUGAGACUUUGCACAGCCUGCCCCGGCUUCACCCACCUGACAUGAUGUGAAGCUGCUGGGACUCCUUCAGACUGUGCCCUUGGGCUUUCAAAAGGCCUUUCUCAGCCAGCUGUGGAGACGACAGUCUGCAGACCUGACUGGAGCCAGCAGGCUCUGUGCUUCCCAAGGGAGCUGUGCAAACUGACCACCAGGGCUGCCCAUAUGCAGGUCAGAGGCUCUGACACUGUCCGUUUCAAAUGCUUCCGGAAACUUCUUGCCUAGGCCCUCUUCCUUCUCCUUUGCCAGUAACCUGAUUAACCAAGUUCUCCAGCAUCUAAGACUUACCUCCUCCUUUCGUAAGAUCGAUCUCUUGUAUGUGGAUGAAUGUCUGGCUUAAACAGUUUAUAAAGCCUGUGGGGCAGAUUUAGCCUCUGUCCUCCCCAGCACAGUCCCAGGAGUGGGUGGCCCUGCUGUUGGCAGUGGGGAACAAGCUCUCUGGAGACUGCUGGAUGCUUAGCAUUGUUUGAUUUAUGACCUUGACAAAUAGAUAGGCUUGUGUUUUUUUUUAAUUUAAAGAUAUUAAGACUUAAAUCACUAAAAUUUAUUCUGAGGGGAUAUUUAUACUUUUAUACUUUUUUAGGUAUCCGUAUUUUAUCAGCUUACUGUUUAAUGCCUAAGUUUCCCCUGAAAAUAGCAAAUAAAAUUGUGUAUUUAUGAAUGAGCCCA